CUUUUACAUUUUCUCUGUCAUCCUCCUGUUCCACAGGUUUACUCUCUUUCCAGGCAUAAAUGUGGGAGAGACAAUAAUCAAGAUUGAAUGUCCCUUCAGCCCCCAAACACACCCUGUGGGAGCUUUAGUUCAGACUGUUCCAGAAAACUUUACAACUAGUGGACACACCAAGUGGCACCAGGGAGACGCAAUAUAUUCUGAAAGCCCUCAGUGGACACUCAGGCUGCUUCCACGUCUUGGCUAUUGUGAACAGGGCUGCGGUGAGCAUGGAAGUGCAGGAACCUCCAUAUUAUUUCCUGUAGCAGCUGCACCAGUUUAUCUUGAAAGAGGUUCAUGAUCGUGGACCCCCCAAGGCUUUAUCUUCGGCCUCUCAGGCUCUGCGCACCUGUUGAAGUGGAAGCUCUCCCUGAUGCUUGGUGGGUUUUCUAGGAGCUUGCUCACUUCCUGGGGGUCCCACCCUAACUUUGUUAUUGGUCUCUGUGGUUGUCUCACU
Molecule: long non-coding RNA, 493 nt
Organism: Artibeus jamaicensis (Jamaican fruit-eating bat)
Lineage: Eukaryota; Metazoa; Chordata; Mammalia; Chiroptera; Phyllostomidae
Exons: 3
Source: RefSeq, a predicted model, not a curated record